RNAcentral lists this transfer RNA (86 nucleotides) under Hypoxylon sp. CI-4A. It matches the Rfam family "tRNA". Rfam says of the family: Transfer RNA (tRNA) molecules are approximately 80 nucleotides in length. Their secondary structure includes four short double-helical elements and three loops (D, anti-codon, and T loops). Further hydrogen bonds mediate the characteristic L-shaped molecular structure. tRNAs have two regions of fundamental functional importance: the anti-codon, which is responsible for specific mRNA codon recognition, and the 3' end, to which the tRNAs corresponding amino acid is attached (by aminoacyl-tRNA synthetases). tRNAs cope with the degeneracy of the genetic code in two manners: having more than one tRNA (with a specific anti-codon) for a particular amino acid; and 'wobble' base-pairing, i.e. permitting non-standard base-pairing at the 3rd anti-codon position. The record is from Rfam by way of RNAcentral. Lineage: Eukaryota; Fungi; Ascomycota; Sordariomycetes; Xylariales; Hypoxylaceae.
GGUCCGUUGGCCCAAUGGUAAGGCGUCUGACUACGAUUAUAAGAAGCGCAAUCAGGAGAUUCUGGGUUCGACCCCCAGGCGGACCU